GGUGAGAUGGCCGAGUGGUCUAAGGCGCUAGAUUUAGGCAAUUCCUGCUAAUCUCUAGUCAUUCGUGGCGUGGGUUCAAAUCCCACUCUCAUCA
Lentinula detonsa is the source of this 94-nucleotide non-coding RNA. NCBI's taxonomy places the organism in Eukaryota, Fungi, Basidiomycota, Agaricomycetes, Agaricales, Omphalotaceae. The record is from the annotation of a GenBank genome assembly.